RNAcentral lists this long non-coding RNA (344 nucleotides) under Citrus sinensis (sweet orange). Its description in RNAcentral is "long non-coding RNA (CSIN_LNC003777)". The record is from RNAcentral. Lineage: Eukaryota; Viridiplantae; Streptophyta; Magnoliopsida; Sapindales; Rutaceae.
ACCGUUUCCUCCAGACCAACUCGUCUGCUGUGUCCGUACAGGUCGGGGACAACGUCACCCUCGCGUACACUCAUCAGAACGAGUCUCCUUUACGGCAAAGGUAAAGACAACAGUAAAGUUUCUAUUAAUAAUUUAAGCGACACCGUUUCUGUUCUUGAUCUUCGUGCUACAGAGUUGGUUUUGGUACCUUGAAGUUGUCGGAGUUUUUCUCUGACAGAGAAAUGACUAGUUUAAGGAAUUGUUUUCUAAUUCUGUCGGACAUCCGGAAUCAUUAGCUUUAUUAUUUACGGAUCAGACGGUGCAGAGCGUUUGAUCAAGUUAGCGAUAUGCCUGCACGGCUACAC